RNAcentral lists this ribosomal RNA (776 nucleotides) under uncultured Neocallimastigales. Its description in RNAcentral is "partial large subunit ribosomal RNA". It matches the Rfam family "Eukaryotic large subunit ribosomal RNA", at positions 24 to 640 of the family's 3401-position model. The record is from RNAcentral. Lineage: Eukaryota; Fungi; Neocallimastigomycota; Neocallimastigomycetes; Neocallimastigales.
UUAUGUGAUCGUCUCUCGCAUAUCAAUAAGCGGAGGAAAAGAAACUAACAAGGAUUCCCCUAGUAACGGCGAGUGAAGCGGGAAGAGCUCAAAUUUGAAAUCUUAAAGGGUUUCCCUUUACGAAUUGUAGUUUAAAGAAGUGUUUUCUGUUGAGGUUUUGGUAAAAGUUCUUUGGAAUAGGACAUCAUAGAGGGUGAGAAUCCCGUAUUUGACCUUUACUUUCAACUUUGUGAUACACUUUCAAAGAGUCGGAUUGUUUGGGAAUGCAGUCCAAAAUGGGUGGUAAAUUUCAUCUAAAGCUAAAUAUUGGCGAGAGACCGAUAGCGAACAAGUACCGUGAGGGAAAGAUGAAAGAACUUUGAAAAGAGAGUUAAACAGUACGUGUAAAUUGUCAAAAGGGAAGCGUUUGACACCAGUGUUGUUUUUCUGAAAAUCAAUUAAAGAACUGUUUAUGCUAAGUUGUUUAGACUUUAUCAGCUAAUCUGUUUAGUUUUGAGCUUUUCUUUAAUGCACUUUUCAGUUAACAAGUCAACAUCAAUUUCUUUUGCUGUAAAAAAGCUUGAGGAAGGUGGCUUGAGAUUCGUCUUAAGUGUUUAUAGCCUCUUGCCUAUGCAGUCGGAGAGAUUGAGGUCUGCAGCGUAGAUCCUUCGGGGCUAAAUGCAUUUGUGCUAAGUUAUAGCAUUUUAUAGACAACUUGUUGACUAUGAUUUGUCUUGUAGCUUACUCGCUUAUGUUAUUUUACCUACGCUUAGGAUGUUGAUAUGCAUGACUGAUAU